Molecule: ribosomal RNA, 360 nt
Filed under: uncultured bacterium
Lineage: Bacteria
Description: bacterial SSU rRNA
Rfam family: Bacterial small subunit ribosomal RNA
Source: RNAcentral
AGUGAGGUAAGGUGGAUAUGUUAAUAGCAUAUUCAUUUGACGUUAGCUGCAGAAGAAGCACCGGCUAACUCCGUGCCAGCAGCCGCGGUAAUACGGAGGGUGCGAGCGUUAAUCGGAAUUACUGGGCGUAAAGCGCAUGCAGGUGGUUGUUAAGUCAGAUGUGAAAGCCCGGGGCUCAACCUCGGAAUUGCAUUUGAAACUGGCAAACUAGAGUACUGUAGAGGGGGUAGAAUUUCAGGUGUAGCGGUGAAAUGCGUAGAGAUCUGAAGGAAUACCGGUGGCGAAGGCGGCCCCCUGGACAGAUACUGACACUCAGAUGCGAAAGCGUGGGGAGCAAAUAGGAUUAGAUACCCUCGGUAG